Molecule: ribosomal RNA, 210 nt
Filed under: Triticum aestivum (bread wheat)
Lineage: Eukaryota; Viridiplantae; Streptophyta; Magnoliopsida; Poales; Poaceae
Description: partial small subunit ribosomal RNA
Source: RNAcentral
AUGGCCGCUGUCCCGUGCCGCACCGAACGGCCGCUCGCCGGAUUCUCUCAGAUCUCAUCAACUCGAGGAGAGAGGACGGAGGGAGCGAGGGAGCGUACCAUGCGAGCGGUCGAGCAGGGGAUCGAGCGGGGAGGCGCUGGCGAUCUGCCCAGGCAGGGGCGCGGUCAACAGCACCAACGCUUGAUGCGUCUUGGCGAGGGCGGCGCUUGA